CUGCACACAACUCCUUUUUAUGUGAAACUCUUGUAGAAGACCAUGGAAAUCGGCAUGCAGAGCGCUUAGAGAAAUGAUGUGUGCAUUAUGCCUUUUUAGCUGUACUAAGCCCCUUCUAUUUGGAAUUAAUUACCUAAAGAUGCGUGUGAUAUUAGAACUAGACAUUUGGCUGGCUUUUGUGCAAGUGCUAACAAUGAAGAGAGGAUACUUCAUCUACAGGAAUUAAUUGAUCCAUCUCAAGCAGAGAGAAACCAACAUUUCUCAGUCAUGGAUUGGAAUUUACUGAAGAUCUCUGGGAAGUGCUACACUA
This is a long non-coding RNA of Gopherus flavomarginatus (Mexican gopher tortoise), 310 nucleotides long. RefSeq lists it as uncharacterized. NCBI's taxonomy places the organism in Eukaryota, Metazoa, Chordata, Testudines, Testudinidae. The record is from RefSeq and is a predicted model, not a curated record. The transcript is spliced from 3 exons.